This 468-nucleotide ribosomal RNA is filed under the name uncultured bacterium. RNAcentral's name for it is "partial 16S ribosomal RNA". It matches the Rfam family "Bacterial small subunit ribosomal RNA", at positions 28 to 507 of the family's 1533-position model. The record is from RNAcentral.
GACGAACGCUGGCGGCGUGCUUAACACAUGCAAGUCGAACGGAAAGGCCCUGCUUUUGUGGGGUGCUCGAGUGGCGAACGGGUGAGUAACACGUGAGUAACCUGCCCUUGACUUUGGGAUAACUUCAGGAAACUGGGGCUAAUACCGGAUAGGAGCUCCUGCUGCAUGGUGGGGGUUGGAAAGUUUCGGCGGUUGGGGAUGGACUCGCGGCUUAUCAGCUUGUUGGUGGGGUAGUGGCUUACCAAGGCUUUGACGGGUAGCCGGCCUGAGAGGGUGACCGGCCACAUUGGUACUGAGAUACGGCCCAGACUCCUACGGGAGGCAGCAGUGGGGAAUAUUGCACAAUGGGCGGAAGCCUGAUGCAGCAACGCCGCGUGCGGGAUGACGGCCUUCGGGUUGUAAACCGCUUCCGCCUGUGACGAAGCGUGAGUGACGGUAAUGGGUAAAGAAGCACCGGCUAACUACGUG